GACACUGAAUUUGGAAGGUGGAGGAUUUUGUUUUUUCUUUUAAGAUUUGGGCAUCUUUUGAAUCUACCCUUCAAGUAUUAAGAGACAGACUGUGAGCCUAGCAGGGCAGAUCUUGUCCACCGUGUGUCUUCUUCUGCACGAGACUUUGAGGCUGUCAGAGCGCUUUUUGCGUGGUUGCUCCCGCAAGUUUCCUUCUCUGGAGCUUCCCGCAGGUGGGCAGCUAGCUGCAGCGACUACCGCAUCAUCACAGCCUGUUGAACUCUUCUGAGCAAGAGAAGGGGAGGCGGGGUAAGGGAAGUAGGUGGAAGAUUCAGCGAAGCUCAAGGAUGGAGGUGCAGUUAGGGCUGGGGAGGGUCUACCCUCGGCCGCCGUCCAAGACCUACCGAGGAGCUUUCCAGAAUCUGUUCCAGAGCGUGCGCGAAGUGAUCCAGAACCCGGGCCCCAGGCACCCAGAGGCCGCGAGCGCAGCACCUCCCGGCGCCAGUUUGCAGCAGCAGCAGCAGCAGCAGCAGCAGCAGCAGCAGCAGCAGCAGCAAGAGACUAGCCCCAGGCAGCAGCAGCAGCAGGGUGAGAAUGGUUCUCCCCAAGCCCAUCGUAGAGGCCCCACAGGCUACUUGGUCCUGGAUGAGGAACAGCAGCCUUCACAGCCGCAGUCGGCCCCGGAGUGCCACCCCGAGAGAGGUUGCGUCCCAGAGCCUGGAGCCGCCGUGGCCGCCAGCAAGGGGCUGCCGCAGCAGCUGCCAGCACCUCCGGACGAGAAUGACUCAGCUGCCCCAUCCACGUUGUCCCUGCUGGGCCCCACUUUCCCCGGCUUAAGCAGCUGCUCUGCCGACCUUAAAGACAUCCUGAGCGAGGCCAGCACCAUGCAACUCCUUCAGCAACCGCAGCAGGAAGCAGUAUCCGAAGGCAGCAGCAGCGGGAGAGCGAGGGAGGCCUCGGGGGCUCCCACUUCCUCCAAGGACAAUUACUUAGGGGGCACUUCGACCAUUUCUGACAGCGCCAAGGAGUUGUGUAAGGCAGUGUCGGUGUCCAUGGGCCUGGGUGUGGAGGCGUUGGAGCAUCUGAGUCCAGGGGAACAGCUUCGGGGGGAUUGCAUGUAUGCCCCACUUUUGGGAGUUCCACCCGCUGUGCGUCCCACUCCUUGUGCCCCAUUGGCCGAAUGCAAAGGUUCUCUGCUAGACGACAGCGCAGGCAAGAGCACUGAAGAUACUGCUGAGUAUUCCCCUUUCAAGGGAGGUUACACCAAAGGGCUAGAAGGCGAGAGCCUAGGCUGCUCUGGCAGCGCUGCAGCAGGGAGCUCCGGGACACUUGAACUGCCGUCCACCCUGUCUCUCUACAAGUCCGGAGCACUGGACGAGGCAGCUGCGUACCAGAGUCGCGACUACUACAACUUUCCACUGGCUCUGGCCGGGCCGCCGCCCCCUCCGCCGCCUCCCCAUCCCCACGCUCGCAUCAAGCUGGAGAACCCGCUGGACUACGGCAGCGCCUGGGCGGCUGCGGCGGCGCAGUGCCGCUAUGGGGACCUGGCGAGCCUGCAUGGCGCGGGUGCAGCGGGACCCGGCUCUGGGUCACCCUCAGCCGCCGCUUCCUCAUCCUGGCACACACUCUUCACAGCCGAAGAAGGCCAGUUGUAUGGACCGUGUGGUGGUGGUGGUGGUGGGGGCGGCGGCGGCGGCGGUGGCGGCGGCGGCGGCGGCGGCGGCGGCGGCGAGGCGGGAGCUGUAGCCCCCUACGGCUACACUCGGCCACCUCAGGGGCUGGCGGGCCAGGAAGGCGACUUCACCGCACCUGAUGUGUGGUACCCUGGCGGCAUGGUGAGCAGAGUGCCCUAUCCCAGUCCCACUUGUGUCAAAAGCGAGAUGGGCCCCUGGAUGGAUACCUACUCCGGACCUUACGGGGACAUGCGUUUGGAGACUGCCAGGGACCAUGUUUUGCCCAUUGACUAUUACUUUCCACCCCAGAAGACCUGCCUGAUCUGUGGAGAUGAAGCUUCUGGGUGUCACUAUGGAGCUCUCACAUGUGGAAGCUGCAAGGUCUUCUUCAAAAGAGCCGCUGAAGGGAAACAGAAGUACCUGUGUGCCAGCAGAAAUGAUUGCACUAUUGAUAAAUUCCGAAGGAAAAAUUGUCCAUCUUGUCGUCUUCGGAAAUGUUAUGAAGCAGGGAUGACUCUGGGAGCAGCUGUUGUUGUUUCUGAAAGAAUCUUGAAGGUGGUUGGAGUCUCAGAAUGGCUUCCUUAAAGACUACCUUCAGACUCUCAGCUGCUCAACCACAACAGAGAUCAGCCUUUCUUUGUAGAUGAUUCAUUCCUGGCUGCAUUUGAAAACCACAUAUUGUUAAUUGCUUGAAGAAUUUAAAUCCCUUGACUACUUUUCAUUUCAGAAAA
RNAcentral lists this small RNA (2383 nucleotides) under Pongo abelii (Sumatran orangutan). RNAcentral describes it as "processed transcript". The record is from RNAcentral. Lineage: Eukaryota; Metazoa; Chordata; Mammalia; Primates; Hominidae.